RNAcentral lists this transfer RNA (73 nucleotides) under Vicugna pacos (alpaca). RNAcentral's name for it is "tRNA-Ala (AGC) (tRNA-Ala-AGC-669-1)". It matches the Rfam family "tRNA". Rfam says of the family: Transfer RNA (tRNA) molecules are approximately 80 nucleotides in length. Their secondary structure includes four short double-helical elements and three loops (D, anti-codon, and T loops). Further hydrogen bonds mediate the characteristic L-shaped molecular structure. tRNAs have two regions of fundamental functional importance: the anti-codon, which is responsible for specific mRNA codon recognition, and the 3' end, to which the tRNAs corresponding amino acid is attached (by aminoacyl-tRNA synthetases). tRNAs cope with the degeneracy of the genetic code in two manners: having more than one tRNA (with a specific anti-codon) for a particular amino acid; and 'wobble' base-pairing, i.e. permitting non-standard base-pairing at the 3rd anti-codon position. The record is from RNAcentral. Lineage: Eukaryota; Metazoa; Chordata; Mammalia; Artiodactyla; Camelidae.
GGUGGGUAUAGCUCAGUGGCAGAGCACAUGCUUAGCAUGCAUGAGGUCCUGGGUUCAAUGCCCAGUACCUCCA